RNAcentral lists this transfer RNA (70 nucleotides) under Aspidoscelis tesselatus (common checkered whiptail). Its description in RNAcentral is "tRNA-Glu". RNAcentral also lists the same sequence under 1 other name. The record is from RNAcentral. Lineage: Eukaryota; Metazoa; Chordata; Lepidosauria; Squamata; Teiidae.
GGUUUUUAUAGUUGAAUUACAACGACAGUUUUUCGUAUUGUUAGUCUUGGGUUUAGGCCAAGUAAAAACG